GACGAACGCUGGCGGCGUGCCUAAUACAUGCAAGUAGAACGCACAGUUUAUACCGUAGCUUGCUACACCAUAGACUGUGAGUUGCGAACGGGUGAGUAACGCGUAGGUAACCUGCCUGGUAGCGGGGGAUAACUAUUGGAAACGAUAGCUAAUACCGCAUAAUAUUAAUUAUUGCAUGAUAAUUAAUUGAAAGGUGCAAUUGCACCACUACCAGAUGGACCUGCGUUGUAUUAGCUAGUAGGUGAGGUAACGGCUCACCUAGGCGACGAUACAUAGCCGACCGGGGAGGGUGAUCGGCCACACUGGGACUGAGACACGGCCCAGACUCCUACGGGAGGCAGCAGUAGGGAAUCUUCGGCAAUGGACGAAAGUCUGACCGAGCAACGCCGCGUGAGUGAAGAAGGUUAUCGGAUCGUAAAGCUCUGUUGUAAGAGAAGAACGGGUGUGAGAGUGGAAAGUUCACACUGUGACGGUAUCUUAACAGAAAGGGACGGCUAACUACGUG
RNAcentral lists this ribosomal RNA (505 nucleotides) under uncultured bacterium. RNAcentral describes it as "partial 16S ribosomal RNA". It matches the Rfam family "Bacterial small subunit ribosomal RNA", at positions 28 to 507 of the family's 1533-position model. The record is from RNAcentral.